RNAcentral lists this unclassified non-coding RNA (544 nucleotides) under Artemisia spinescens. RNAcentral's name for it is "partial external transcribed spacer". The record is from RNAcentral. Lineage: Eukaryota; Viridiplantae; Streptophyta; Magnoliopsida; Asterales; Asteraceae.
CAUCGUUCGGGGCAUUCUGGGGCUGUUUUGGCUAUUGGUUGCUUGUUUGGUCCUGAACCGAACGGGUGGCUUCUAGCCUGGUGGCUUCGGGGAUGUUGUCCGUAAAGGUGGAUGAGUGGUGUUUGGUUUGUUACGUGUGGUUGGCUGCGGCGUUUGCAACAACUUCCAUGCUUUCAGACCUCUUCAUUUGUGCGGCAAGGCUUGUAUCGCCUUGAGCGUAUUUUGGGUUUUCUGUGUUGAAUACCUAAUCAAUGGUAUCGGUUGGAUUGAUCAAUGUUUCAUUUCGUCUGUCGUCGCAUUCGCGGCKUGAGAUGAACCUUGAUGCGGUCUCUUUGAUCCACCUUGUUGAAGCGCAUGCUUUGACGUUGUGGCGCAUUGAGCAUUGCUUGGUCUCUUGUAUGCGGAACAUGUAGCGGGCAUGAAUCUCACGAUUCUCGUUUGCCCUCAUAUUAGCGUAACGCUUCUCUUACACGACUUGCUCCACGUUUUAGCAUGUACGGACGUGGUGCUAUGUCGAAGAGGAAUGCUACCUGGUGAUCCUGCC